GACGAACGCUGGCGGCAUGCCUAAUACAUGCAAGUCGAGCGGACAGAAGGGAGCUUGCUCCCGAAAGUCAGCGGCAGACGGGUGAGUAACACGUGGGCAACCUGCCCCUUAGAUUGGGAUAACUUCGGGAAACCGAAGCUAAUACCGAAUAAUACAAGGAACCUCCUGGUUCUCUGUUGAAAGAUGGCCUUUGUGCUGUCACUAAGGGAUGGGCCCGCGGCGCAUUAGCUAGUUGGUAAGGUAACGGCUUACCAAGGCGACGAUGCGUAGCCGACCUGAGAGGGUGAUCGGCCACACUGGGACUGAGACACGGCCCAGACUCCUACGGGAGGCAGCAGUAGGGAAUCUUCCGCAAUGGACGAAAGUCUGACGGAGCAAUGCCGCGUGAGUGAGGAAGGCCUUCGGGUCGUAAAGCUCUGUUGUGAGGGAAGAACAAGUAUCGCCGUAACUACCGGUACCGUGACGGUACCUCACCAGAAAGCCACGGCUAACUACGUGCCAGCCGCCGCAGUAA
RNAcentral lists this ribosomal RNA (514 nucleotides) under uncultured bacterium. RNAcentral describes it as "partial 16S ribosomal RNA". It matches the Rfam family "Bacterial small subunit ribosomal RNA", at positions 28 to 523 of the family's 1533-position model. The record is from RNAcentral.